ACGGAAGGCAGCAGUGGGGAAUAUUGCACAAUGGGCGCAAGCCUGAUGCAGCGACGCCGCGUGAGUGAAGAAGUAUUUCGGUAUGUAAAGCUCUAUCAGCAGGGAAGAAAAUGACGGUACCUGACUAAGAAGCCCCGGCUAACUACGUGCCAGCAGCCGCGGUAAUACGUAGGGGGCAAGCGUUAUCCGGAUUUACUGGGUGUAAAGGGUGCGUAGACGGCUGUGCAAGUCAGAAGUGAAAUCCCGGGGCUUAACCCCGGUGCUGCUUUUGAAACUGUACGGCUAGAGUGCUGGAGGGGCAAGCGGAAUUCCUGGUGUAGCGGUGAAAUGCGUAGAUAUCAGGAGGAACACCGGUGGCGGAGGCGGCUUACUGGACGGUAACUGACGUUGGGGCUCGAAAGCGUGGGGAGCAAACAGGAUUAGAUACCCUGGUA
This 434-nucleotide ribosomal RNA is filed under the name uncultured Butyrivibrio sp. Its description in RNAcentral is "partial 16S ribosomal RNA". It matches the Rfam family "Bacterial small subunit ribosomal RNA", at positions 341 to 792 of the family's 1533-position model. Lineage: Bacteria; Bacillati; Bacillota; Clostridia; Lachnospirales; Lachnospiraceae. The record is from RNAcentral.